RNAcentral lists this ribosomal RNA (497 nucleotides) under uncultured bacterium. RNAcentral describes it as "partial 16S ribosomal RNA". It matches the Rfam family "Bacterial small subunit ribosomal RNA", at positions 28 to 507 of the family's 1533-position model. The record is from RNAcentral.
GAUGAACGCUGGCGGCGUGCCUAAUACAUGCAAGUCGAGCGAACAGACGAGGAGCUUGCUCCUCUGACGUUAGCGGCGGACGGGUGAGUAACACGUGGAUAACCUACCUAUAAGACUGGGAUAACUUCGGGAAACCGGAGCUAAUACCGGAUAAUAUAUUGAACCGCAUGGUUCAAUAGUGAAAGACGGUUUUGCUGUCACUUAUAGAUGGAUCCGCGCCGCAUUAGCUAGUUGGUAAGGUAACGGCUUACCAAGGCAACGAUGCGUAGCCGACCUGAGAGGGUGAACGGACAGACUGGAACUGAGACACGGUCGAGACUCCUACGGGAGGAAGCAGUAGGGAAUCUUCCGCAAUGGGCGAAAGCCUGACGGAGCAACGCCGCGUGAGUGAUGAAGGUCUUCGGAUCGUAAAAUUCUGUUAUUAGGGAAGAACAAAUGUGUAAGUAACUAUGCACAUCUUGACGGUACCUAAUCAGAAAGCCACGGCUAACUACGUG